This 576-nucleotide ribosomal RNA is filed under the name uncultured bacterium. RNAcentral's name for it is "partial 16S ribosomal RNA". It matches the Rfam family "Bacterial small subunit ribosomal RNA", at positions 355 to 920 of the family's 1533-position model. The record is from RNAcentral.
UGGGGAAUAUUGCACAAUGGGCGCAAGCCUGAUGCAGCCAUGCCGCGUGUGUGAAGAAGGCCUUCGGGUUGUAAAGCACUUUCAGCGAGGAGGAAGGUGGUGAACUUAAUACGUUCAUCAAUUGACGUUACUCGCAGAAGAAGCACCGGCUAACUCCGUGCCAGCAGCCGCGGUAAUACGGAGGGUGCAAGCGUUAAUCGGAAUUACUGGGCGUAAAGCGCACGCAGGCGGUUUGUUAAGUCAGAUGUGAAAUCCCCGGGCUCAACCUGGGAACUGCAUUUGAAACUGGCAAGCUAGAGUCUCGUAGAGGGGGGUAGAAUUCCAGGUGUAGCGGUGAAAUGCGUAGAGAUCUGGAGGAAUACCGGUGGCGAAGGCGGCCCCCUGGACGAAGACUGACGCUCAGGUGCGAAAAGCGUGGGGAGCAAACAGGAUUAGAUACCCCUGGUAGUCCACGCUGUAAACGAUGUCGAUUUUGGAGGUUGUGCCCUUGAGGCGUGGCUUCCGGAGCUAACGCGUUAAAUCGACCGCCUGGGGAGUACGGCCGCAAGGUUAAAACUUAAAGGAAUUGACGGGGUC